Molecule: ribosomal RNA, 234 nt
Filed under: uncultured bacterium
Lineage: Bacteria
Description: partial 16S ribosomal RNA
Rfam family: Bacterial small subunit ribosomal RNA
Source: RNAcentral
GAUCCUGGCUCAGGAUGAACGCUAGCUACAGGCUUAACACAUGCAAGUCGAGGGGCAGCAUGUAUCUGGCUUGCCAGAUAUGAUGGCGACCGGCGCACGGGUGAGUAACGCGUAUCCGACCUGCCCGCACACUCCCGGGAUAGCCUUGCGAAAGCAAGUUUAAUACCGGAUGCCGUAAUGGCGCCGCAUGGUGUUUUUACGAAAGGGAUUUACCGGUGUGCGAUGGGGAUGCGU